Molecule: ribosomal RNA, 225 nt
Filed under: uncultured bacterium
Lineage: Bacteria
Description: partial 16S ribosomal RNA
Rfam family: Bacterial small subunit ribosomal RNA
Source: RNAcentral
AGUAACGCGUGAGGAACCUGCCUUGAAGAGGGGGACAACAGUUGGAAACGACUGCUAAUACCGCAUGAAGCAUAGGGGUCGCAUGAUCUUUAUGCCAAAGAUUUAUCGCUUCAAGAUGGCCUCGCGUCUGAUUAGCUAGUUGGCGGGGUAACGGCCCACCAAGGCGACGAUCGGUAGCCGGACUGAGAGGUUGAACGGCCACAUUGGGACUGAGACACGGCCCAG